Bombina bombina (fire-bellied toad) is the source of this 213-nucleotide long non-coding RNA. RefSeq lists it as uncharacterized. Lineage: Eukaryota; Metazoa; Chordata; Amphibia; Anura; Bombinatoridae. The transcript is spliced from 3 exons. The record is from RefSeq and is a predicted model, not a curated record.
GAAGGAGGUGCGGGACAAACUUCUAGAAGAGUCUGUUGUCACUGGUGUCCGUAGCUCAAGUAGGAGAGAUGAAUCUGUCAGGCAAAAGAGAGCUGAUCACCGAAAAUACUCUGCAGGGCGAUCCGCCCCAAGCACGUCUCAGCCUAGUUCGGUGUCAGUAACUCGGAUCCAACCAGUAGCAGCCUCUGGAAGCAGAGAGACGUCCACUACUCC